Molecule: ribosomal RNA, 496 nt
Filed under: uncultured bacterium
Lineage: Bacteria
Description: partial 16S ribosomal RNA
Rfam family: Bacterial small subunit ribosomal RNA
Source: RNAcentral
GAUGAACGCUGGCGGCGUGCCUAAUACAUGCAAGUCGAGCGAACAGACGAGGAGCUUGCUCCUCUGACGUUAGCGGCGGACGGGUGAGUAACACGUGGAUAACCUACCUAUAAGACUGGGAUAACUUCGGGAAACCGGAGCUAAUACCGGAUAAUAUAUUGAACCGCAUGGUUCAAUAGUGAAAGACGGUUUUGCUGUCACUUAUAGAUGGAUCCGCGCCGCAUUAGCUAGUUGGUAAGGUAACGGCUUACCAAGGCAACGAUGCGUAGCCGACCUGAGAGGGUGAUCGGCCACACGGGAACUGAGACACGGUCCAGACUCCUACGGGAGGCAGCAGUAGGGAAUCUGCCGCAAUGGGCGAAAGCCUGACGGAGCAACGCCGCGUGAGUGAUGAAGGUCUUCGGAUCGUAAAACUCUGUUAUUAGGGAAGAACAAAUGUGUAAGUAACUAUGCACGUCUUGACGGUACCUAAUCAGAAAGCCACGGCUAACUACGU